CUCAUUCCAAUAUCCAAUCUUUCGACUUGAUACAAUUUUCACUGAUUCACUGAUCCUUACACUUGCACUGAUAAUAAAAUUAAUUCAACGUACAGAGCACGUAUUAAUUGAAGCAGUCACGAUAUAUAUUAAAGAUAAUUUUUGAAAACACAAUUGCAUUUAAAAAAUUCAUAUCAUUUUCUGUGUUAAGCUUCAAUUUUCAAUUGAAUUCAAGAAGUCAUUGACUUCGAGUAAAUUCAUAAUGUCACCGUUAAGGGCUAACCACGAUAACACCUAAUGAAUGACGUAAUGAUCCUAAAUCACCGAUAACAGUAUUAAUAAGAAAAGUUACAUCCUCAAUUUUAAACUGAAUCCACAAUUAAGACACUUUCAGCGUCUCUUAUCGUUUCGACACAUCAUAGUACUACAACUAGAAUUAAUUAACACGUUAAUCACCAUAGCAACGGACACGACUGAUUAUCAUUGAAUUAUUAUCGCGUGGUUGGAGGCACUAUUGAUAAAAUUAAAUGUAGCAAAGGUCCAAGAGACAGGAUCGCGACAAAUUCUUGGACAAGUUACACGCGCACUGUGCGUCAAGAUAAAUUGUCAUGGACAAUAUUCCGCAGUAUAAAUAAUGAAUAAAAAUUAAAUUAACAAAACUCAACUGACGAGCGAUCAGCACCGGAUUACUUUCCACGAACUAUCAUUUGAACAAGACCGAGACUCGCUGGCGUGCGAAGAGAAUAUAAAAAUGGACGCACUGAAACGAUCCUCCAAAUUCUUCCGAUCGCAACACGAUGAUUCACUAUGAGAAUAACAGUAGGUGUGUCUUGUACGAUACAAGAUAACAGAUAACGAACACACAUUUAAGCUGUAUAUCGGCACGUGUUUACGAUUAAAUAUUGCACUACACAAUCAGUGAUAAAAGUAACUAAUAAAUCCUCUGUUUUAUGCAGAACGUUGUACUCGUGUUCAGCCGUGAAGUUUCGACGAGUCGCUAAGUAAGGAAAGGUUAGGACAAACAGACUGUAAAGUUAAGUCCCGUGUACGGCAGUAUAGCGCGAGGAAGAGACAGACAAACAGAUAGAAGUGGGGAUACGACGAGUGCCAGCAGCAGCAGGGUUUGAAAAGCGGUCUGACUAUAUAUUGUGGUAUAGUUGGUAGGAGCUGUCGAUUCUUAGAAGAGACAACCGUUGCUCGAGAAAAGGACAUUUGAAUUCCUACAGCGGGCUCAGGAUCAGGUCAACUCCAGACCGAUGUCGAACAGAUCUUAUUGCUUCCAGCAGAACCUCCGGAUACAAGACGGUUUGCCAUCUGUUGGCCUUCAGUUCCCUGGAACUUCUAUAGGUACGAAGAUACCAAGAGAAGGGGGGGUCAUAAUCAAACUAUGACGUGGUUCUCUCAAGAUCCCGUCUGACCCCGUGCAGAACCGAUCUGACUCCCACAGAUCGAGUCUCCCCUGUUUGCACAGCUGGCUCGUCCCCUGGUUCGGUCCAUGCUCUUCGGGUACCAGAUGGCCUUGACCUCAAGCCUGUAGUUAGCCACCCUCUUCGGAUCACUUCAUCGUGGAGGCGAAGAUCCCCAAGACCUAGGUAGACGUUUCAAUGGUACUCAACGAGUACUCAUGCUGGUUGACUUCAUCCAACUUCAUCCCCGUCCAACGCUUGCAGUCAGGAGCACCGGGUCUGGAUGUUCGCCGUCGCACACACGCCUAGGUCCCAGACUCAACGUGCCUUCUUAUCUGACCCCCAUGCCGUGACGUGACUGACUGGCUUAACGAAAUCGUGUCCACCUCGACUCCGCCUCCGGUCCGAAGAAAAGCUCGGGAAAGAAGGAGAGCAACCAAGAAACACAACAAAGUGCUCGAAAAUAUUCACGACUUUUAUUUUGAAAUAUGCCAAACAAAAUGGCUGCGGGGACUCGACUUUGUCAUGGAAGCACUCUUGUCGGGUAAAAUGGUAUCUACCCACGGGUAUAAGGGUUGACUGUCCAAGUAGCUAUACAGAAGGUCUCAAUUGAAUGCUACAAACAGAGCGUGGGCUUAGACAAGCUCUAAAAGUAAAUGAUCAAAAUUACGAUAAUUUUCAAACUACGCAAAAUAGAUUUCACGAAAACUUGAAAAUACCAUAUACCAUGCGAAAGACGGGAAUCGAAGUAGCGAUCAGUUUAAAAAUUCGAAAAAAUUUUGU
Molecule: long non-coding RNA, 2168 nt
Organism: Cephus cinctus (wheat stem sawfly)
Lineage: Eukaryota; Metazoa; Arthropoda; Insecta; Hymenoptera; Cephidae
Exons: 3
Source: RefSeq, a predicted model, not a curated record